CCUACGGGAGGCUGCAGUGGGGAAUAUUGGGCAAUGGAGGCAACUCUGACCCAGCAACGCCGCGUGAAUGAUGAAGGUCUUCGGAUUGUAAAGUUCUGUGUUGGGGGAUGAACACAAUGACGGUACCCCAGUAGCAAGCCACGGCUAACUACGUGCCAUCAGCCGCGGUAAUACGUAGGUGGCAAGCGUUAUCCGGAAUGACUGGGCGUAAAGGGUUCGUAGGUGGUUUAGUAAGUUGGGGGGGUAAUUCCGGGGCUCAAGCUCGGCGCAACCGCCAAAACUCUUAGACUAGAGUGCAGGAGAAGUAAGCGGAAUGCGUGGUGUAGCGGUGGAAUGCGUAGAUAUUAGGAGGAACAUCAGGGGCGAAGGCGACUUACUGGAGUGUAACUGACGCUGAGGCACGAAAGCGUGGGGAGCGAACAGGAUUAGAUACCCGAGUAGUC
This 443-nucleotide ribosomal RNA is filed under the name uncultured bacterium. RNAcentral's name for it is "partial 16S ribosomal RNA". It matches the Rfam family "Bacterial small subunit ribosomal RNA", at positions 338 to 795 of the family's 1533-position model. The record is from RNAcentral.